CCUACGGGAGGCAGCAGUAAGGAAUAUUGCGCAAUGGGCGAAAGCCUGACGCAGCGACGCCGCGUGGGGGAUGAAGGUCUUCGGAUUGUAAACCCCUUUCGGGAGGGAAGAUGGAGCGAGCAAUCGUUCGGACGGUACCUCCAGAAGCAGCCACGGCCAACUCUGUGCCAGCAGCCGCGGUAAU
RNAcentral lists this ribosomal RNA (184 nucleotides) under uncultured bacterium. RNAcentral's name for it is "partial 16S ribosomal RNA". It matches the Rfam family "Bacterial small subunit ribosomal RNA", at positions 338 to 524 of the family's 1533-position model. The record is from RNAcentral.